This 491-nucleotide ribosomal RNA is filed under the name uncultured bacterium. RNAcentral's name for it is "bacterial SSU rRNA". It matches the Rfam family "Bacterial small subunit ribosomal RNA", at positions 29 to 517 of the family's 1533-position model. The record is from RNAcentral.
AUUGAACGCUGGCGGCGUGCUUAACACAUGCAAGUCGAUCGGUAACAGGUGUAGCAAUACAUGCUGACGAGAGGCGGACGGGUGAGUAAUGCUUGGGAAUCUGCCUAUUAGUGGGGGACAACCCGGGGAAACUCGGGCUAAUACCGCAUACGCUCUACGGAGGAAAGCCGGGGACCGCAAGGCCUGGCGCUAAUAGAUGAGCCCAAGUCGGAUUAGCUAGUUGGUAGGGUAACGGCCUACCAAGGCGACAAUCCGUAGCUGGUCUGAGAGGACGACCAGCCACACCGGAACUGAGACACGGUCCGGACUCCUACGGGAGGCAGCAGUGGGGAAUAUUGGACAAUGGGGGCAACCCUGAUCCAGCGACGCCGCGUGGGUGAAGAAGGCCUGCGGUUGUAAAGCCUUUCGGUGGGAAGAAAGUCUCGACCUAAUACGUCGGGCCUUGACGUAACCCACUAAAGAAGCACCGGCUAACUCUGUGCCAGCCGCCG